Molecule: ribosomal RNA, 458 nt
Filed under: uncultured bacterium
Lineage: Bacteria
Description: partial 16S ribosomal RNA
Rfam family: Bacterial small subunit ribosomal RNA
Source: RNAcentral
CCUACGGGUGGCAGCAGUGAGGAAUAUUGGUCAAUGGCCGGGAGGCUGAACCAGCCAAGUCGCGUGAGGGAAGACGGCCCUACGGGUUGUAAACCUCUUUUGUCAGGGAGCACGGUGCAGGUCGGGACCUGCUGUGAGAGUACCUGUAGAAAAAGCAUCGGCUAACUCCGUGCCAGCAGCCGCGGUAAUACGGAGGAUGCGAGCGUUAUCCGGAUUUAUUGGGGUUAAGGGGUGCGCAGGCGGAGGCACAAGUCAGCGGUAAAUCGCGGGGCUCAACCCCGGUCCGCCGUUGAAACUGUGGACCUUGAGUGCGCGAAGGGUAGGCGGAAUGCGAGGUGUAGCGGUGAAAUGCAUAGAUAUCACGAAGAACACCGAUCGCGAAGGCAGCCUACCGGCGCGCAACUGACGCUCAUGCACGAAAGCGUGGGCAUCGAACAGGAUUAGAUACCCGGGUAGUC